AGAGUUUGAUCCUGGCUCAGGAUGAACGCUGGCGGCGUGCUUAACACAUGCAAGUCGAGCGGAGCACAUCAUUGGAAUCCUUCGGGAGGAAGAGGAUGUGGCUUAGCGGCGGACGGGUGAGUAACGCGUGGACAACCUGCCCUAUGCAGGGGGAUAACAUCCGGAAACGGGUGCUAAUACCGCAUAAGCGCACAGUACCGCAUGGUACGGUGUGAAAAGCUGAGGCGGCAUAGGAUGGGUCCGCGUUGGAUUAGGCAGUUGGCGGGGUAACGGCCCACCAAACCGACGAUCCAUAGCCGGCCUGAGAGGGUGGACGGCCACAUUGGGACUGAGACACGGCCCAGACUCCUACGGGAGGCAGCAGUGGGGAAUAUUGCACAAUGGGGGAACCCUGAUGCAGCGACGCCGCGUGGGUGAGGAAGUACUUCGGUAUGUAAAGCCCUAUCAGCAGGGAAGAAAAUGACGGUACCUGACUAAGAAGCCCCGGCUAACUACGUG
This 498-nucleotide ribosomal RNA is filed under the name uncultured Marvinbryantia sp. RNAcentral's name for it is "bacterial SSU rRNA". It matches the Rfam family "Bacterial small subunit ribosomal RNA", at positions 8 to 507 of the family's 1533-position model. The record is from RNAcentral. Lineage: Bacteria; Bacillati; Bacillota; Clostridia; Lachnospirales; Lachnospiraceae.